Molecule: ribosomal RNA, 1318 nt
Filed under: Conicobruchus medaniensis
Lineage: Eukaryota; Metazoa; Arthropoda; Insecta; Coleoptera; Chrysomelidae
Description: SSU rRNA
Rfam family: Eukaryotic small subunit ribosomal RNA
Source: RNAcentral
UUGUCUCAAAGAUUAAGCCAUGCAUGUCUCAGUACAAGCCAUAUUAAGGUGAAACCGCGAAAGGCUCAUUAAAUCAGUUAUGGUUCCUUAGAUCGUACCCACAUUUACUUGGAUAACUGUGGUAAUUCUAGAGCUAAUACAUGCAAACAGAGCUCCGACCGGAGACGGAAGGAGCGCUUUUAUUAGAUCAAAACCAAUCGGUGGCGGGUUUUCGCUCGUCAUCGUACAACUUGGUGACUCUGAAUAACUUUACGCUGAUCGCAUGGUCUAGCACCGGCGACGCAUCUUUCAAAUGUCUGCCUUAUCAACUGUCGAUGGUAGGUUCUGCGCCUACCAUGGUUGUAACGGGUAACGGGGAAUCAGGGUUCGAUUCCGGAGAGGGAGCCUGAGAAACGGCUACCACAUCCAAGGAAGGCAGCAGGCGCGCAAAUUACCCACUCCCGGCACGGGGAGGUAGUGACGAAAAAUAACGAUACGGGACUCUUCCGAGGCCCCGUAAUCGGAAUGAGUACACUCUAAACCCUUUAACGAGGAUCAAUUGGAGGGCAAGUCUGGUGCCAGCAGCCGCGGUAAUUCCAGCUCCAAUAGCGUAUAUUAAAGUUGUUGCGGUUAAAAAGCUCGUAGUCGAAUUUGUGUCCCGCGCCGCCGGUUCAUCGCACGCGGUGUUAACUGGCGUGCCGCGGGACGUCCUGCCGGUGGACUUAGCCUUCGCGGGCGGUCCAACUCAAUCCCACCACGGUGCUCUUUACUGAGUGUCGAGGUGGGCCGGCACGUUUACUUUGAACAAAUUAGAGUGCUCAAAGCAGGCUAAAACUUCGCCUGAAUACGUGUGCAUGGAAUAAUGGAAUAGGAUCUCGGUUCUAUUUUGUUGGUUUUCGGAACCCCGAGGUAAUGAUUAAUAGGAACGGAUGGGGGCAUUCGUAUUGCGACGUUAGAGGUGAAAUUCUUGGAUCGUCGCAAGACGAACAGAAGCGAAAGCAUUUGCCAAAAACGCUUUCAUUGAUCAAGAACGAAAGUUAGAGGUUCGAAGGCGAUCAGAUACCGCCCUAGUUCUAACCAUAAACGAUGCCAGCUAGCGAUCCGCCGACGUUCCUCCGAUGACUCGGCGGGCAGCUUCCGGGAAACCAAAGCUUUUGGGUUCCGGGGGAAGUAUGGUUGCAAAGCUGAAACUUAAAGGAAUUGACGGAAGGGCACCACCAGGAGUGGAGCCUGCGGCUUAAUUUGACUCAACACGGGAAACCUCACCAGGCCCGGACACCGGAAGGAUUGACAGAUUGAGAGCUCUUUCUUGAUUCGGUGGGUGGUGGUGCAUGGCCGU